This 449-nucleotide ribosomal RNA is filed under the name uncultured bacterium. RNAcentral's name for it is "SSU rRNA". It matches the Rfam family "Bacterial small subunit ribosomal RNA", at positions 26 to 518 of the family's 1533-position model. The record is from RNAcentral.
AGAGCGAACGCUGGCGGCAGGCCUAACACAUGCAAGUCGAGCGCCCGUAGCAAUACGGGAGCGGCAGACGGGAGAGUAACACGUGGGAACGUACCCUUCAGUUCGGAAUAACCCAGGGAAACUUGGACUAAUACCGAAUACGUCCGUAAGGAGAAAGAUUUAUCGCUGAAGGAUCGGCCCGCGUCUGAUUAGCUUGUUGGUGAGGUAACGGCUCACCAAGGCGACGAUCAGUAGCUGGUCUGAGAGGAUGAUCAGCCUCACUGGGACUGAGACACGGCCCAGACUCCUACGGGAGGCAGCAGUGGGGAAUAUUGGACAAUGGGCGCAAGCCUGAUCCAGCCAUGCCGCGUGGAUGAUGAAGGCCCUAGGGUUGUAAAGUCCUUUCGGCGGGGAAGAUAAGUGACGGUACCAGCAGAAGAACGCCCGGCUAACUUCGUGCCAGGCGCCGC